CCCUCCUUUCUGAGCAGUAUUUUCCUGCUCCCUUCUGCGGUCGGCUCCUCUUCGCUGCCCAUGUUAAUGUUUGUGUGAACGUGCAGGGAGCUCUCUGCUGCCCUGCAGGCUGGGGUUUGCCCUGCUGCCCGCUCUUACAGUUACACGCGCACACUCGCGCAUACACACGCACACACGGGUGCUGUGGCGGGCGUUGCUGCACAGGGCGGCCGUGCUGCAGGUCGCGCUCCUCCGGGCUGCGCACCUCCGGGCUCCGUCCACCCAUAGCGCGUCUGACAGCUCCUCUGAGCCUUCGCAGCCCGCUUUCUGACCGCUUUUCCACUCGGUGGCGUGGGAACGGGAUCCCGUUUUCAUUGCGUCACGCUGAUCCCUGACGAACGCUUUCCACAACCUCAGCCUCCGCCUUAGCUCUAAACUGCAGGCCAGGCUUCUGCGCCUCUCCUCCUCCUGGGCCAUCCCUUUCCUGUCUCACAGGGGCGGGCGGGGGCUGUUUGUUCCUUUGGUUGGCUGGGAUAUUUUUGGUAUAGGGAACUGCUGGCAGGCCUUCACGCUGUGUGACACAAUCAGCCCUUUUUUGUUUAUUUUGAGACAGGUUCUCCCCCAGACGCUAAAUUGCCCAGGCUGGGCUUGAACUUACAAUCCCCCCUGCCUCAGCCUCCCAGAGGGCUGGGGUCACAGGCGUGCAUCCCCACACCCGGCCACCUGUCCGCAGCUCACCUCGAGUCUCUGUCCCCAGGCUGGAGAGCUGCGGGCUCAUGAAGCUGGCCUGCCCGGGCGUGGCCGUCUCCCUGGGGAGCAGCCGGACGCUGACGCACCUGAGCCUGGCGGGCAAUGCCCUGAAGGAUGAAGGGGCGAGGCACAUCUGGGAGAGCCUGGCAAGCGCGGCGCUGCCCCUCCAGAGGCUGGUGUGAGUCCCCAGGUGCCUCCCCUUGAGGCUCGGCGUGCGGGGAGCAGUGCCGAGCACACCUGCUUCGUGUUCUAGUCUGUGGCACACGUGUGACCCACAGAGGCCUAUUGGAGCCAUGCUUGUGCCAGGGGACAGCAGUCAGGAAAAGGGUGUUAUUUCCACUGAAGAGGCAGGUUAGCGGGGCCCAGGCACCCAGGGCCCUGCAGAUGCGCAGGACGGCGACAUCUGCUCAUCACAAGAGCCGGGCGGGGGCUCAGGGUCAGUGUCCAGGUCACGCUGCCUUCCUCCUGGGGAGGUCUCACUUGGCUGUCACGGGAGGAAGUUCAGCACAGAAUUAAAUACGGAGCCAGGCAUGGUGGUGCACGCCUGUGACCCCAGCACUCUGGGAGGCUGCAGGCGCCUGGCGGGAAGGGGCAGGGAGACCUUGGAGCCUCCUGCCAGACGGAC
RNAcentral lists this long non-coding RNA (1354 nucleotides) under Heterocephalus glaber (naked mole-rat). Its description in RNAcentral is "lncRNA (ENSHGLG00100045701.1)". Lineage: Eukaryota; Metazoa; Chordata; Mammalia; Rodentia; Bathyergidae. The record is from RNAcentral.